GAAAAUCCGUUGACUUUAA
Molecule: transfer RNA, 19 nt
Filed under: Grammosciadium pterocarpum
Lineage: Eukaryota; Viridiplantae; Streptophyta; Magnoliopsida; Apiales; Apiaceae
Description: partial tRNA-Leu
Source: RNAcentral